GGGGGCCCCGGGAGGACUCAGCACCCGCCUCACCCCAACACCGGGCUCGCCUCUUCAGCUCAUAUAAGGUAAAAGGCAGAGGGGCGUCUGUGGCCAAGGAGCAACAGGCAAGGGGCUAAAGGGAGGGGGGCCCAGUGCCAGCCGUUUAAAAAUGCCCCGUGGCAGUGAGGGGUGCCAGAGGCCCGGUCAAGUUAGUUGAGAAGCAAUGACACCCCCAACAAUCCCCUAAAUGAGCUGACCCCCGUAUCCAGGCUGCAAGGAGCCACACCUGGACCAGACCCCAGGAGAGCCUCCUGGAGCUUCCCAAGAAGACAGAGGUUCCCCCCACUGGCUGGGCUCAGCGACAUUUCCUGAAGACAGUGAGGAGCAGGGAGGGGGAAUCGGCCCAUUCUCUGGGAGCAGCCCCCCAGACUGCCAACAGCCGGCACCAGGUAAGAAUCUGCCCUGUAAGAGUCUAAGGCCACCUGUUCAACCGUGUCCUUGGGCAGAGGGGAUAUGGAGCCGCGGAGAGCCGGGAGACGUGACCACAGCAGCUGGUGAUCAAAGUCGGGUCUCCCACAAGGCCCCCUGCCCCCCGGACUGGGGACCAGGAGUAGGAAGGAGCCUCUCGUGGGGCUACCGACCCCCUUCUCAUUCAGCGGAGACUAGGGGUCAGGGUCAGCUGUGUCUGCCUGCUGGGCAAGUAAGAAAGACUCAAGGGAAGAGUUCCCAGGGCCAGAGAGCCAAGAGGACACCCUUCCUGCCUCCGUGCCCCUCCUCCCAGCCUGCCACCUCCUCCUCCAGGAAGCCAUCCCAGCUUCCCAAAGGGGAGGGGGGGCGGCGGGGGAGGGCUCUCUGUCUUCUGAGACCUUGUCUCUCUCUUGUGUUGUGGCCCUCGGGUCUGCCCUCUAUUCACCUUGCCAGGGACAUUUCCCCUCUAUCUCAGCCUGACGGCGCUCCUCCAGGGCAGGGGCAGGGUCAGCUUCAGUGCCACGUCCCCUCUGCAGGCGGAAGAUGCCCUAGGUUUGCUGAAGGGUCAGGUGAAAUGGUUAGACCCUGUCCCGAACCCAAAGGAUUGGUAAAGUGGCCCAAGGAGGAGGAGGGGGGGAGGAGACAUUCAGCCUAG
This 1105-nucleotide long non-coding RNA is filed under the name Canis lupus familiaris (dog). RNAcentral's name for it is "lncRNA (ENSCAFG00000056516.1, ENSCAFG00845009524.1)". Lineage: Eukaryota; Metazoa; Chordata; Mammalia; Carnivora; Canidae. The record is from RNAcentral.